GAACCACCUGAUCCCUUCCCGAACUCAGAAGUGAAACCCCUCCGCGCCGAUGAUAGUGUGGCAUUCGCCAUGUGAAAGUAGGUCAUCGCCAGAC
Molecule: ribosomal RNA, 94 nt
Filed under: Agitococcus sp.
Lineage: Bacteria; Pseudomonadati; Pseudomonadota; Gammaproteobacteria; Moraxellales; Moraxellaceae
Source: RNAcentral